This 105-nucleotide small nucleolar RNA is filed under the name Phaseolus vulgaris (common bean). Its description in RNAcentral is "Plant small nucleolar RNA R71". It matches the Rfam family "Plant small nucleolar RNA R71". From Rfam's summary of the family: R71 is a member of the C/D box family of snoRNAs containing the C (UGAUGA) and D (CUGA) box motifs. Multiple nearly identical copies of this snoRNA have been identified in Arabidopsis, and it is thought to function as a 2'-O-ribose methylation guide for 18S ribosomal RNA. The record is from Rfam by way of RNAcentral. Lineage: Eukaryota; Viridiplantae; Streptophyta; Magnoliopsida; Fabales; Fabaceae.
AACCCAUGAUUUGGGUAUUUUCUUAGCAUCACUUUGAACCUUUCCCAUGUUUCAUAGAAGGCUUCAUUUGAUCCUGUCUGAACAUAGAAAUAUCAAACUUUGCUU